AAGGGAGGCCAGGCUAAUCGAGGAAGCGGGGAAAAGCGUGGUCAUUGUGAACGUCCGACGCUGUCUCUAGGGGUGAGAAACCUGGAAAUGAGCCUGAAGAGGUGAAGCUGCAGAAUGCCAGCAAACAGAUUGUGCAGAAUGCAAUCCUGCAAGCUGUGCAGCAAGUCUCCCAGGAGAGUCAGCGCAGAGAAGAGAGAAUCAGUGACAACCGGGACCACAUCCAACUGGCCGUUGGGGAGUUAACCAAGAAGAACGAAAAGAAGUAACAUGGUGGAUUUGGCUCUUGACAUGUGCUUGGUUUCUAGCCUUCCUCUUAGUAUAGGACGCAUCUCCAAAAUGUUGCCAGUAAAGCAAACCGAAGUGUCACCGGCACCUAGCUGUAGAAUGAAUUCGCACUAGCCCCUGGCUGAGAAGCACUGUUUUGAAAAAGUGCAUUAGACGAUUCUGUUCAUAUUUAUGCAGUGCCUCUGAGACAUAGUGGGGCCAAAUAUGACACUGUAAUUGCAAAAGUAGUUUUGCAGGCCAAUUUAUUUUUAAAGUUCUUUUAUUUGAAAAAAAGAAUUCUAUGUCUCGUUUAUUUACUUCUGCCUUUUAUGCGUUCCUUCUGUGAAUUUAACAAGCAGCCUUUUUGCUGAAAUACUGAAUACAGUACUGAGUUCUUUAUGAUAUAUUAAAAAGACAUGCUAGAAAGGUGAGGGAAUGGAGUUUUAGUUACCUUCAAAUGUGAAAUUGAAGGCUUUAAGUGGGUUCAGGUCUAAGAUCAAAUUAAGAAAAGGGAAAUUCUAAGGCUGAGUCCCUCGGGACCAUACCAACGCAUUUGCUAAUAUUUAUGUUAUUUUAAGAAAGGGAGGAGUUUAAGUUUCUCAAGAACUCAGUCCUUUAGUCUCAAUUCUCUGAAUGAUUUCAUAAUUGGUGUUUAUGCUCUGUGUAGAAAUCUCUUGGGAAUAUUAUGGAUUUCUUUUCUCAUCUCAAGAUUAAAUAAAAUAAGACAAGCGAGUCUACACAUGUGAGUUGCCAAUGACUCAUUUCCUUAGCAGCCUCAUGGAGAAUGGCUAGAAUUGUAGAUUUCUUCAACAGCUGCCUAUCGUUAAGAGACUUACACUUGGGGCUGAUCAUGGGGUGCAACAUCCUUGGAAGGGAUUCUGGGGUCCUUACGAAUGCUGUUUUGCCACUAGGCUAUGCAUUUGCAUUAGGACCUUACUAACUUUUCCCAUCCACACAUUAAUUUUUUUUUUGAGAUUAUGAAAAUCAUACAGGUCAGGAAUACAUGAGAACACAAUGGGGACAGUAAAGUGACAGUGUUUUGAAUGCAGUGACAGAGAUAUGUGUGCGUACACGUGUAAUAAAGUUAUCUGUGCAGCAACAGGAUCAAUCCCUGCUCCACUUCUGUGAGGAUAAUGCACAUAUUUCUGGAGUAUCUACAGUCCCAUUUCCUGGGCUUCACAAAAGUUAUUGAAUUGGCGCUAUUGGGGACAGAGGAAGAAUUUGACCUUGGUUAAAAACCUUCUGGUUUCAGAGUAUCAAUAUCUACAUUUGAUUUUUUUUUAAAGCAAAGUAUUCGGGUAUAAAUUGUGACUGAUAUUAAGAUAUACUUCUAAAAUUCCAAUAUGCUACAGUUUCUAGAAUAAAUAGUUGGAUAAUAGAUAAUGAAUGAAAAAUAUCUUACCAGCUUUGUUAUGCUGUCUCCCACAGUGCACAGGUGGAAUAAAUUCACAGGAAACAUGGAAGGAGAAGGAAGCAGAAGGGCUUAAAAUUUAAAGAUUGUUUACUCACAAGUAUUUCUUUUAGCAGAAUUCAUGCCAAGUGAAGAGUGAGUUUAAGUCGACCAAAAGUCAUAUAACUGAUGUGAUAUAAUUGCAUAGCAUACAUAGUGAGAAUGAAGGUAUUCAGGGAAAUUAUUCAGGAGUGCCACAAAUAAAAUAAAUAAAUAAAUCUAAUGCUUGUAGUUUGUAAGUGAUCUGGUACUAUGUCUACUCAGAUAUCUGGAUAUGACCAGCCUUUGUUUUUGCUGUCAAGUGACAGAAACAUAUACACAUACUAUUUUUCCUCUCUGAUGUGUCUGUACUAAAAAAU
RNAcentral lists this long non-coding RNA (2073 nucleotides) under Pan troglodytes (chimpanzee). RNAcentral describes it as "long non-coding RNA NONPTRT007464". The record is from RNAcentral. Lineage: Eukaryota; Metazoa; Chordata; Mammalia; Primates; Hominidae.